CCUACGGGUGGCACCAGUGGGGAAUUUUCCGCAAUGGGCGAAAGCCUGACGGAGCAAUGCCGCGUGUGUGAAGAAGGUCUUCGGAUUGUAAAGCACUUUCGACGGGGACGAUGAUGACGGUACCCGUAGAAGAAGCCCCGGCUAACUUCGUGCCAGCAGCCGCGGUAAUACGAAGGGGGCUAGCCUUGCUCGGAAUGACUGGGCGUAAAGGGCGCGUAGGCGGUUUAUGCAGUCAGAUGUGAAAUCCCCGGGCUUAACCUGGGAACUGCAUUUGAGACGCAUAGACUAGAGGUCGAGAGAGGGUUGUGGAAUUCCCAGUGUUGAGGUGAAAUUCGUAGAUAUUGGGAAGAACACCGGUGGCGAAGGCGGCCCCCUGGACGAAGACUGACGCUCAGGUGCGAAAGCGUGGGGAGCAAACAGGAUUAGAUACCCGUGUAGUC
RNAcentral lists this ribosomal RNA (440 nucleotides) under uncultured bacterium. RNAcentral describes it as "bacterial SSU rRNA". It matches the Rfam family "Bacterial small subunit ribosomal RNA", at positions 338 to 795 of the family's 1533-position model. The record is from RNAcentral.